This 437-nucleotide ribosomal RNA is filed under the name Scutisotoma sp. RI77. RNAcentral describes it as "partial 16S ribosomal RNA". The stretch from base 287 to 437 matches the Rfam family "Bacterial large subunit ribosomal RNA", at positions 2473 to 2624 of the family's 2925-position model. The record is from RNAcentral. Lineage: Eukaryota; Metazoa; Arthropoda; Collembola; Entomobryomorpha; Isotomidae.
AUAAUCAUUAGUCUCUUAAUUAGAGAAUUGUAUGAAUGGUUUUACGUAGUGUUAUUUUUUUAAUAAAGUAAAUUGAAAUUAAAUUUAAAGUGAAAAUGCUUUAAUUUUUAUUAAGACGAUAAGACCCUAUAGAGUUUUAUUUAUAUUAAAAAUAAAAAUUAUUAUUUAAUGUAUUUUUUAAGAUUAAAUUUAAUUGGGGCAAUUAAAGAAUAAAUUAAACUUCUUUAUAUUAUACUUUAUAAAAUUAUAUAACUUAAUUAAAAAUUUUAUAAAAAAUUACCUUAGGGAUAACAGCGUUAUUGAGAUUGAGAGUUCUUAUCGACAUCUUAGUUUGCGACCUCGAUGUUGAAUUAAAAAUUUUAAAGGGGGCAGCAUUUCUUUUAAAUAGUCUGUUCGACUAUUAAAUUUUUACAUGAUUUGAGUUCAAAUCGGCGUGA